CAGUCAUCAUUCAGCCUGUGGCGGACCUUCUGGUAGAUGGCCGACAUGGUCUUCAUGUUGCUCUUCCUCCACUGGCGGCCCAGGUACUUUGUCUGGAUCUUAAGCAGCUUCAGGACGUAGAGCUGCAUCAUGGCCUGCUUCACCUUCAGAGCUCUCUUCAGGAUGGGAGCAGACUUAAACACCACAAGCAUCUGAAAGAGAGGGAAUAGAGGGACUUAUACAGAUGAUAAUGAGACAUCUUAUGUCUAUCUCUAACUACGCAUGCAAGGGAUCACUGCCCUGCUGGAACGCUGAACUCAGAUACAGAUGUGGACAUGCAGAUGAUGAGUUGUCUCCAGUUUACUGAGACAUUCAGUCAAAUAUCAAGUAUUAGAGGCUUACAUUUUUCAUAUAAAUGCAUAGUUAACUUGAUGUAUGAAAGGCAGAUUGCAUGACAAGUUGUACCACUUUGAAUAACACAAACGUUACAUUAUUCUCAAAGAUACUUUACGAUGAGCAGGAUCAAGAGCUUCAGUACGAGGCUUUUGCAGCAGUACACAAUUACUCACCAUUGUCCUGGAGUGUUUCCACUUGGUCAGCUUGUUCAAUAUUCUCAGCAGAUUGAUACAAGAGAACAGGUUUCUCCAACAGAACUGAUUGCUGUCUCCUGCUUCCUAAAGAUAGAAACAAAUAACAGAGGCCCUCGUCAUACGUUGAAAAACUACCUGCCAAGCUGAAUUUCAUCCACAGAGGAUCAAUCAGAUGUCUGGCCGACAGUGUUUUCACUCACCAGGCUCUCUGCGGUGAGCUCAGGCAUCUCAUGGACCACACAGUGAGGAAAGUCCAGCACACAUAUGCUGCAAUAAAAACACAAAAACA
Long non-coding RNA from Notolabrus celidotus (New Zealand spotty), 858 nucleotides. RefSeq lists it as uncharacterized. The record is from RefSeq and is a predicted model, not a curated record. Lineage: Eukaryota; Metazoa; Chordata; Actinopteri; Labriformes; Labridae. The transcript has 2 exons.